AGAACGAACGCUGGCGGCAUGCCUAACACAUGCAAGUCGAACGAGACCUUCGGGUCUAGUGGCGCACGGGUGCGUAACGCGUGGGAAUCUGCCCUUGGGUUCGGGAUAACAGUUGGAAACGACUGCUAAUACCGGAUGAUGACUUCGGUCCAAAGAUUUAUCGCCCAGGGAUGAGCCCGCGUAGGAUUAGCUAGUUGGUGAGGUAAAGGCUCACCAAGGCGACGAUCCUUAGCUGGUCUGAGAGGAUGAUCAGCCACACUGGGACUGAGACACGGCCCAGACUCCUACGGGAGGCAGCAGUGGGGAAUAUUGGACAAUGGGCGAAAGCCUGAUCCAGCAAUGCCGCGUGAGUGAUGAAGGCCUUAGGUUGUAAAGCUCUUUUACCCGGGAUGAUAAUGACAGUAACCGGAGAAAUAACGCCCGGACUAACUCCGUGCCAGCAGCCGC
Molecule: ribosomal RNA, 447 nt
Filed under: uncultured soil bacterium
Lineage: Bacteria
Description: bacterial SSU rRNA
Rfam family: Bacterial small subunit ribosomal RNA
Source: RNAcentral